GACGAACGCUGGCGGCGUGCUUAACACAUGCAAGUCGAACGGAAAGGCCCUGCUUUUGUGGGGUGCUCGAGUGGCGAACGGGUGAGUAACACGUGAGUAACCUGCCCUUGACUUUGGGAUAACUUCAGGAAACUGGGGCUAAUACCGGAUAGGAGCUCCUGCUGCAUGGUGGGGGUUGGAAAGUUUCGGCGGUUGGGGAUGGACUCGCGGCUUAUCAGCUUGUUGGUGGGGUAGUGGCUUACCAAGGCUUUGACGGGUAGCCGGCCUGAGAGGGUGACCGGACACAUUGGGACUGAGAUACGGCCCAGACUCCUACGGGAGGCAGCAGUGGGGAAUAGUGCACAAUGGGCGGAAGCCUGAUGCAGCAACGCCGCGUGCGGGAUGACGGCCUUCGGGUUGUAAACCGCUUUCGCCUGUGAUGAAGCGUGAGUGACGGUAAUGGGUAAAGAAGCACCGGCUAACUACGUG
Molecule: ribosomal RNA, 468 nt
Filed under: uncultured bacterium
Lineage: Bacteria
Description: partial 16S ribosomal RNA
Rfam family: Bacterial small subunit ribosomal RNA
Source: RNAcentral